UACGAUGCGACGAGAAGUAACUGUGG
Molecule: non-coding RNA, 26 nt
Filed under: Cricetulus griseus (Chinese hamster)
Lineage: Eukaryota; Metazoa; Chordata; Mammalia; Rodentia; Cricetidae
Source: RNAcentral